This 1560-nucleotide long non-coding RNA is filed under the name Mus musculus (house mouse). RNAcentral's name for it is "predicted gene, 38250, transcript variant 4 (Gm38250)". The record is from RNAcentral. Lineage: Eukaryota; Metazoa; Chordata; Mammalia; Rodentia; Muridae.
AAGGAAAGGCGGCCCUGGAGCGCCUAGCGGAGAGCAAAGAAAGGUCGAUGAUGGAAAUCGACCGCGUGGUGGUGCUAAUACCCUCAGGAUGCGAGGCUGUCGAGGCUGUCUCCUACCAGACAGAAACCGAGGUCCAAGGAAGAGGAGGGGAGAGUUUCGGAGCCAAAUGGUUAUCCUCCAACUAGACUUUACACCCGCCCCCACCAGCUGCCCCAGUCUUAACGGACUUUGAUGUGUCUGAGCUUUAAGAAUCCUCAUUCUACUUUGUAACAAACCCUAGCAACUUCCUCAUGUAAGACCAAGUGCCAGUGAGCAAGGAGCAGCUGCUGCAGCCAUCACCAACAGAGGAGCAUCUUCAUCCAUUAACCCUCAGCGUGCCUACUAGCAACUUCCUCAUGUAAGACCAAGUGCCAGUGAGCAAGGAGCAGCUGCUGCAGCCAUCACCAACAGAGGAGCAUCUUCAUCCAUUAACCCUCAGCGUGCCUACUGUGUGACUGUGCCUGAUACAGAGAUGGCAUCGAUCCUUAGGACUUGGAAAAGGCUGAAAAUGAAGGAAACGAAGUACAUGAAAGAGCCGAGGCUGGCAGAGCCACUGGAGAAAAGGAUGUGAGGUUGACCCUGAGCCAUACAAGCCUUCACACCAGCUCAAUCACAUCAUGGGUUUGGCAGGCUUUUAUCUAUACUCCCGUCCCAUCAAGAUACCAUCAGGUGACAAACACCCAGUUAGGGCAGUGCCAGCGGCAGCUGUCCUGAACCAGCCUUACCCUUCAUUUGAUACCAGUCACUAGGGGCAUUGUGGGAUCAGUGUCUCCCCAGUUUCCCACUGACUAAUAAAACUUAAAUCCUUUAGGAUGAAAACAGAGGGAGGUCCUUUAAGGUGGGUGCAAAGAGGAGGGUAGGUGAUACUGAGAUCAGACUCUCAAGGCUUCAGCAAAAGCUGUUGGUGUGUUCAUGGGGGAUGAGCAUGGAUCCUUUAUCUGGGGCUUUUGGGAGAAAGACCUAAAGAAAGACAUGUCAUUUUAAAGUGUGAAGAUUUGGGGUUCCAACCUCAUCCAAGAACCCAUCUGAGAAUUUCUACUGCUGUGAUAAAACAUUAUGACGAAAAGCAACUUUAGAAGGGAAAUGUUUACUUCGGUUUACAGUUUACAGCUUACAGCUUACAGUCCAUCGUCUAGGAAAGUCAAGGAAGGAACCUGAAGGCAGGAACUGACUCCUUGUGUGUGGAGAGGGAAAAAAAAAAAGUAUGUUUAGAGGCUGGAGAGACAGCUCAGUAGGUAAGAGCACUGACUGCUCUUCCGAAGGUCCUGAGUUCAAAUCCCAGCAACUACACAGUGCCUCACAACCAUCCGUAAUGAGAUCUGACGCCCUUUUCUGGUGUGUCUAAAGACAGCUACAGUGUACUUACAUAUAAUAAUCAAAAAAUCUUUGGGCUGGAGCAAGUGAGGCCAGAGCGAGCAGAGGUCUUGAGUUCAAUUCCCAGCAACCAUAUGAUGGCUCACAACCAUAUGUACAGCUGCAGUGUACUCAUAUACAUAAAAUAAAUAAAUCUUUUUUUAAAAA